AGGGUUUGAUCCUGGCUCAGAACGUACGCUGGCGGCACGCCUAAUACAUGCAAGUCGAACGGAGUAGCAAUACUUAGUGGCAGACGGGUGAGUAACAUGUAGGUAUCUUCCCUUUGGUGAGGAAUAACACGAGGAAACUUGUGCUAAUACCUCAUAAGUCUUUACGGAGAAAGCUUUAUGCGCCAAUGGAUGAGCCUGCACUUGAUUAGUUUGUUGGUGGGGUAAUGGCCUACCAAGACAAUGAUCAAUAGCUGAUUUGAGAGGAUGAUCAGCCACAUUGGGACUGAGACACGGCCCAAACUCCUACGGGAGGCAGCAGUAGGGAAUCUUGCACAAUGGGGGAAACCCUGAUGCAGCGAUGCCGCGUGAGUGAAGAAGGCCUUUGGGUUGUAAAGCUCUUUCGUCGGGGAAGAAAAUGACUGUACCCGAAUAAGAAGGUCCGGCUAACUUCGUGCCAGCAGCCGCGGUAAUACGAAGGGACCUAGCGUAGUUCGGAAUUACUGGGCUUAAAGAGUUCGUAGGUGGUUAAAAAAGUUGGUGGUGAAAUCCCAGAGCUUAACUCUGGAACUGCCAUCAAAACUUUUUAGCUAGAGUAUGAUAGAGGAAAGCAGAAUUUCUAGUGUAGAGGUGAAAUUCGUAGAUAUUAGAAAGAAUACCAAUUGCGAAGGCAGCUUUCUGGAUCAUUACUGACACUGAGGAACGAAAGCAUGGGUAGCGAAGAGGAUUAGAUACCCUCGUAGUCCAUGCCGUAAACGAUGUGUGUUAGACGUUGGAAAUUUAUUUUCAGUGUC
RNAcentral lists this ribosomal RNA (791 nucleotides) under uncultured bacterium. RNAcentral describes it as "bacterial SSU rRNA". It matches the Rfam family "Bacterial small subunit ribosomal RNA", at positions 8 to 847 of the family's 1533-position model. The record is from RNAcentral.